GCGCCUGUAGCUCAGAGGACAGAGCAGCUGCCUUCUAAGCAGCGGGUCAAGGGUUCGAGUCCCUUCAGGCGCGCCA
RNAcentral lists this transfer RNA (76 nucleotides) under Acidobacteriota bacterium. RNAcentral's name for it is "Acidobacteria bacterium (wastewater metagenome) tRNA-Arg". It matches the Rfam family "tRNA". From Rfam's summary of the family: Transfer RNA (tRNA) molecules are approximately 80 nucleotides in length. Their secondary structure includes four short double-helical elements and three loops (D, anti-codon, and T loops). The record is from RNAcentral. Lineage: Bacteria; Pseudomonadati; Acidobacteriota.